This 866-nucleotide ribosomal RNA is filed under the name Leuconostoc lactis. RNAcentral describes it as "bacterial SSU rRNA". It matches the Rfam family "Bacterial small subunit ribosomal RNA", at positions 39 to 886 of the family's 1533-position model. The record is from RNAcentral. Lineage: Bacteria; Bacillati; Bacillota; Bacilli; Lactobacillales; Lactobacillaceae.
GCGGCGUGCCUAAUACAUGCAAGUCGAACGCACAGCGAAAGGUGCUUGCACCUUUCAAGUGAGUGGCGAACGGGUGAGUAACACGUGGACAACCUGCCUCAAGGCUGGGGAUAACAUUUGGAAACAGAUGCUAAUACCGAAUAAAACUUAGUGUCGCAUGACACAAAGUUAAAAGGCGCUUCGGCGUCACCUAGAGAUGGAUCCGCGGUGCAUUAGUUAGUUGGUGGGGUAAAGGCCUACCAAGACAAUGAUGCAUAGCCGAGUUGAGAGACUGAUCGGCCACAUUGGGACUGAGACACGGCCCAAACUCCUACGGGAGGCUGCAGUAGGGAAUCUUCCACAAUGGGCGAAAGCCUGAUGGAGCAACGCCGCGUGUGUGAUGAAGGCUUUCGGGUCGUAAAGCACUGUUGUAUGGGAAGAACAGCUAGAAUAGGAAAUGAUUUUAGUUUGACGGUACCAUACCAGAAAGGGACGGCUAAAUACGUGCCAGCAGCCGCGGUAAUACGUAUGUCCCGAGCGUUAUCCGGAUUUAUUGGGCGUAAAGCGAGCGCAGACGGUUUAUUAAGUCUGAUGUGAAAGCCCGGAGCUCAACUCCGGAAUGGCAUUGGAAACUGGUUAACUUGAGUGCAGUAGAGGUAAGUGGAACUCCAUGUGUAGCGGUGGAAUGCGUAGAUAUAUGGAAGAACACCAGUGGCGAAGGCGGCUUACUGGACUGCAACUGACGUUGAGGCUCGAAAGUGUGGGUAGCAAACAGGAUUAGAUACCCUGGUAGUCCACACCGUAAACGAUGAACACUAGGUGUUAGGAGGUUUCCGCCUCUUAGUGCCGAAGCUAACGCAUUAAGUGUUCCGCCUGGGGAGUACGAC